AUCUCUAAGACCGGAGUGGGCAGGGACCCGGGCCUCUGAGGGGCUCAGGCUCCAGGCCGGAAACUGCACGCGGUGCUGGCGUCAGGCCCGAGGCCCAGCUACGCCUCCCACGGCCUCCCUAAUCGCCAUUCGGGGCUUGCGGGAGCACCUGGGAGGCUCCACCCGGAGCCAGACACUGCCUGCCCCCACGCCCCUCCAGGACCCUCGAAGGAGAAGGAAAUCGGGACUGGCCCAGCGUCCCGUGCUCUAGAAGGCGGGCUACUGCCCCGUCCCAAGCAGGGGAGGAGGACGAGCGAGGGCGUCACUCAUUCUGUCCCCCGCGGAAGGUGGGCUAGCCGCGGAGGGGGGCGCGCAGGGGAGGGGGGCGCGCCGAGGGGAGGGGAGGGGAGGGGUCCACCCCGCCCUUAGGGCCUCCAGCCAUCGCCCGAGAUCAGAGCUCAGGAAUGCGCAGCCAGACCCUGGAGGGUGAGGAAACACCCCUCCGGGAUUCCUCGCAGCGCACCCGACUCUCCGGGCCACACCCAGCCCCUCAGUGUCCUCCCUCGUCCACUCCAGACGCCACACCCAUCGCUCACGCUGAGAAUCGGGCCCCGGAACCCCAGCUUCGGCUCUCGGCACCCAGAGGUGCGGGACGCAGCCCUGUCUUCUCCUCCUUUCCCAGCUCCUUCUGCACUUCGGAAGCACGGGGCUGGAUCUUAACACCCCCCUCCCUCGGCCUUUCAGGAGCCCAAAGUUCCGAUUCUGUCUGUCCCCUGGAUGGGGAGGGGUCAGUAAUUCUGAAUUCCUUCCAUUCUCAUUCCCAAACCCAGGACACCUAACCCUAAGCGCUUCCCCUCCUAAAGGACCUCCACGUACCAGAUUCCAGCCUCCAACUAGGGCACCUACGAGUCCCCAUCUCUCUACUCCCGCAGACCCAGCCCCUCCUCCCUCAGACUCAGGAGUCCAGGCCCAGCUCCUCCUCCCUCAGACCCAGGAGUCCAGGCCCUCAGCCCCUCCUCCCUCGGACCCAGGAGUCCAGACCCCCCAGCCCCUCCUGCCUCGGACCCGGGAGUCCAGACCCCCAGCCCCUCCUCCCUCAGACCCCGGAGUCCAGGUCCCCUUCCCCACUCUUCCAGACGUAUGACCUCCACAGUCCAGGUCCUCAGCCCUCUCCUCUGCAGAACCCCAAGAAUCCUGGCCCAGCCCCAGUCUUUCUAGGGACCCAGACAUUCUGAGACCCAGCCCAUUCCUCUCUCUGGCCAUAAAGACCCUAGACUGUUGCUUAUGCCCUCUGGGGUCCCCACAACCUCACCUCAGGCAGCCAGUGGCGACUGCGGCUGAAGCAAAGACGACAGCGGCAGCUGGAAGGGUCUGAGGGCUGGGUGGGGUUGGAGGGCUGGGGAGCCAGCGCGGGCGGGACGGGGGCGGGGCCGGGGCGGGGCGCAGCUCCGGCUAGGGCGGUGGACAGGGACUUCCCCGAGUCUGGGCUAUCCCAGCCCCGCCCCGAGGCGGGGCCAAGAGCAGACCACGCCCCCCAGAGUAAAAGUAGCGUGGAGCUCCCGCCCCACCCCAGUGAGCAGGGUGGAGGGCUGAGGUCACGGUUGCCGUGGUGACAAAACAGGAAGACACAACAGCUGGCGGCGUGGAGACUCCUGGGGGCUGCCCUCCUCGACACAGCCCUAGAGGAGUCUCCCGGGUAGGCCAGGGAAGACCGUUACCAUAGAAACCCCGCAUGUUUAGGGUUUGUUUAGUGCAGAGCCCCCCAGCUCAGGUCCCCGCCCCCGUCUCACCUCACUCCUUUCUUCCGCUCCCUUCCUACCCCCUCCUUCCUGGUCUGUUCCGCCCCCACCCCUUCCUUGCCGGAUGAAACCUUAGACACCUGGGUCGCAGCGGAUUGGGGGACCAGGCCCCUCAGUUCAAUGGGGGGGCUAGGAUCUCUGUCUCUUGGAGCCCUGAGGGAGAGCAGAAUUGAGAGCAGUAUUCCUGGGCUUUAGGUGGUUCUGGGCUACGAUCCCUGACUGAUGGGUCUCCCCAAGAAACAGAGGCUAGAUUCCUGUAUUUAAGGACUUGAAGGGGCGGCAAAAUGCUCCCCUAGUACCCACUGGCACCGGGCGCCGCAGGGUAAGGGACUCGGGCUGGACGCAGGUCUCAGAUAUCACAGUGGAUAGGGGUGGGGUGUGUUGGGGGCAAAAUUCCUGGGAGCUAGCGCGGUAGCAGUUGGGGGCCCGGAUUCCUGGGCUCCACAGGAUGCCUAGGCUGAGGCCCAGAUUCUUGGCUCAAAAGAACAAUCAGGCCUGGGCGCGGUGGCUCACGCCUGUAAUCCCAGCAUUUCGGGAGGCUGAGGAGGGAGGAUCCCUUGAGCCCAGGAGUUCGAGACCAGCCUGGGCAACAUAAGGAGACUCUGCUCUAUUAAAAAUAAAUCAUCAUGAUCAUCAUAAUAGAACCAUUAAAGCUCAGACUCGGGUUUUCCGAGCAGGUGUUGCAAGCCUAGCCGCCUGGGUCUGGAAGGCAGCGAUAUUUUUGGCCUACAUUCCUGACUCCUGGAUGGAGGGAGGGACUCAGAAUUUUAAUGAGGAUGGGGCUGGGGCUGGGGCUUGGGGCUCUGGAUUCACGGAUCCUGCAAGAGGGGAAGGGAUCCAAGGGGCUGGUGGGCCCGAAGCCCCAGGGCAGGGAAGGGAUGCAGGGUGUGUUUUUAAAAGGCGGCUCUGCGGCCCUAAAACGGACUGCCGGAGCCAAAAGAAAAAGAGGGAGCUGAGGGUCGGGAUGUCGGGCCCCCGGGGAGGGGCAGGGCGGGGACCUGGGACGCCUGAGUCCCUCCCUCUGGCCGCGUUCACUCACCGCGCUCUGCAGUCGUCCCGGGCGCGGCCUGGCUGGCUGCGGCCGCUGGGCGGGGCCUGGUGGCGGCUGCGGAUGCUCAGCGACGCUGAGCUAACGGGGCGCGUCUGGCGCUGCCGCCGCUGGGCACCUUCCAGGGCCGACAACUGAGGAGGCUUUGAGGCCAAGCCCAGGGGUGGAGGCCGAGUCCAGGAGUGGAAGCCGCGCGAGUGGCGAAGGGAGCAGUCGGAAGGGGUCCGGGAGCUGGGGAUCCGGGUCUACGUGCCCUACGGAGCAGGGAGGGGCCGGAGGGGGACCUGCAGGAAGGCGGGGGUCUGCAGGAGUGGAGAGGGGGUUGGGUAGAGGAAGGUAGAGCCUGUGUGCGGGCUUGAUGUGCUUCUGCAAAGGGAAGGGGACACAGACCCUCUUUGUCACUCUGGGCCCUGCAUAGGGGAGGGAGGUCUCAGUGCACCCAGAUCAGGCCUUGUCCUUGUCCAAGGAGGGAGGGCUGUGGACAGAUAGGGAGUCGGGACAUGGUGUUAGUUGGAGACUCCCCUGGGACGCCUCUAGGUUCUAUUCACAGGCCUCCUUGGCCCCAAGUGUAGCAGCAAAUCUUUCCCCUUCCUGCCUAAAUUAGUCACUGCCUAACCCCAUAGUGACACACUCAAGGUACCCCAAACGGCCCAGAGGUGGUCUCCACUUACACAACUUACUGUGUUAUUCCUCGUGGUGGCAGCGGUUCCCUUGUAGACACUAGAACCCCUCAACAGCAGGGUUCAGGGUAGCAGGAACAGGAAGCAAACAUUUGAAGAGUGAAGGCCGGUCACGGUGGCUCACCUCUGUAAUCCUAGCACUUUGGGAGGCCAAGGCAGGCAGAUCACCUGAGGUCGGGAAUUCAAGACCAGCGUGGCCAACAUGAUGAAACCCCGUCUCUAUUAAAAAUACAAAAAAAUUAAUCAGGCGUUGUGGCGCCGCCUGUAAUCCCAGCUACUCCAGAGGCUGAGGCAGGAGAAUGGCUUGAACCCGGGAGGUGGAGGUUGCAGUGAGCCAAGAUUGCCACUGCACUCCAGCCUGGGUGACUGAGCGAAACUCUGUCUCAAAACAAAAAAUAACAACAAAACAAAUAAAAAUUUGAAGAGUGAGUCAUCGGGUGUGGUCCUAAGAAAUGGCACUCUUGGCCGAUGCAGCAACUCAUGUCUGUAAUUCCAGCACUUUGGGAGGGAGGCCGAGGUGGGUGGAUCACCUGAGGUCAGGAGUUCGAGAUCAGCCUGGCCAACAUGGUGAAACCCCGUCUCUACUAAAAAUACAAAAAAUUAGCCGGGCGGGGUGGCAUGUGCCUGUAAUCCCAGCUACUUGGGAGGCUGAGGCAGGAGAAUCGCUUGAACCCAGGAGGCAGAGGUUGCAGUGAGCUGAGAUCAUGCCAUUGCACUUCAGCCUGGGUAACAAGAGCAAAACUCCGUCUCAAAAAAAAAAGAGAGAGAAAAAUAAAAGAAAGAAAUGGCACUCUUGAGUUCACAGGUCUUUGUAAUCUGGGAUCAUCUGGCAUGUACCCCUGGUUCAGAGUGGUUACCCAUCCUGUAACAGCACCCCGACCCCAAAGAUGAUGACUCCAAACUGGCCCUGUAACCCAGUCUCAAACAGGCCGUGCUGUUCCAUGAGGCUGGCUGCUUUGGGGUAAUGGGGUACAUGGACUGCCCCCCACUGACUUCCUAAUAUAUGGAGCUCCUUGAUCAGAAGCAAUACUGUGCGGGUUAACAUGAGGGUGAAUAGGGCCAUUCAGUGCAUACACAGAUGCUGCUGUUGGCAGAAGUGCAAAGGGCAAGAAAAGCAAAUAACAAGCCCAGAGUUGUUUACUCGAGGGAGGAAAAACUCCCUGCCCAGCCCAGGAUGAAAGGGCUCCAGUGUAAUCCUCACGGGCCCAGGUAUUUGGCUUUUUGGUCUUCCUAGGAAACUGUACCACACUGGGGGAUCAGCACUUGCUACUGCCAGCUAGGUGGGCAUUCAUCAGUGACGUAGGUGGUGUAGUCCACCUCGGCCACUUUGCUCCUGAACCUAUGGAGCAAGCCCUGAGGAUGCCAGGGAAGGAGGCUGAUCCAGAUCCUCAGAGUGGUCAUCUGAUCUACCACAUGGCAUCAUAGCAUUCCCUGUAAUAGAGGUUUUAGGGGGAGAGUUCACUUGGGAUAAAGAUUACGAAGUGGUUUCCACUCGCAACACGUCUGACACCAAUGUGUGUGUUUUUUCUUUUCUUUUUUUUGAGACGGAGUCUCGCUCUUGUCAUCCAGGCUGGAGUGCAAAGAGGUGGUCUUGGCUCAUUGCAACUUCUGCCUCCCAGGUUCAAGCGAUUCUCCUGCCUCAGUCUCCCCAGUAGCUGGGAUUACAGGCACCCACCACCACACGCAGCUAAAUUUUUUUGUAUUUUUAGUAGAGGCGGGGUUUUCACCAUGUUGGUCAGGCUGGUCUCAAACUCCCCACCUCAGGUGACCCACCUGCCUCGGCCUCCCAAAGUGCUGGGAUUACAGGCAUGAGCCACCGCGUCCAGCCACCUGGCUACAUUUCUAGGACUGUCCUCUAAAAACAAAUAAGUUGUUUUUUUCAUCUCAGGUCAAUUCUUUUCUUUUUAUUUAUUUAUUUAUGUUUUAAGAUGGAGUCUCACUCUGUCACCCAGGCUGGGGUGCAGUGGUGCGAUCUCUGCUCACUGCAACCUCUGCCUCCUGGGUUCAAGCAAUUCUCCUGCCUCAGCCUCCCGAAUAGCUGGGACUACAGGCAUGGGCCACCACGUCCGGCUAAUUUUGUAUUUUUAGUAGAGAUGGGGUUUCACUCUGUUAGCCAGGCUGGUCUCAAACUCCUGACCUCAGGUGAUCCACCUGCCUCGGCCUCCCAAAGUGCUGGGAUUACAGGCGUGAGCCACCGUGCCCAGCCGUCAAUUCUUUUCCUCUUUUUCAUCUCUAAAGACAUUCUUCUCAUAACCUUACUAUUGCUGUUACAAUUCUUCUCUUUUUGAUAGUCAAUGUUCCUACUCAAAGAAUAUUUCGUUGGAUUUAAAAUACACACACACACAUAUCAUAUAUAUGCAUAUAUAUGUGUGCAUUUAUUAUCUCACAGUUUCUAUGGAGCUUAGCACAGUUUAGCCAGGUUCUCUGUGAGGCUGUAAUCAAGGUAUUGGCCAGGACUGAGUUUUGGGUUUGUUUGUUUGUUUGUUUGUUUUUGUGUUUUUUGUUUGUUGGUUUGUUUGUUUUUGAGAUGGAGUCUCACCUUGUCGCCCAGGUUGGAGUGCAGUAGCACGAUUUCGGCUCGCUGCAACCUCUGCCUCACAGGUUCAAGCGAUUCUCCUGCCUCAGUCUCCUGAGUAGCUGGGAUUACAGGUACAUGCCAUCACCCCGGCUAAUUUUCAUAUGUUUAGUAGAGACAGGGUUUCACCACAUUGGCCAGGCUGGUCUUGAACUCCUGACCUCAAGUGAUCUGCCCACCUUGGCUUCCCAAAGUGCUGGGAUUACAGGCGUGAGCCACCACGCCCGGCCCGGCACUGAGUUUUGAUCUGAAGGCUCCGCUGGGAAAGGACGUGCUUCUAAAUUCACUCAGCUUGCUGCAGAAUUUGUUUCCUUGUGACUUUAGAACUCAUCAGGGGCUGGGCACGGUGGCUCACACCUGUAACCCCAGCACUUUGGAAGGCUAAGGAGGGCAGAUUGUUUUGAGCUCAGGAGACCAGCCUGGGCAACAUAGCAAAACCACAUCUCUAUAAAAAUACAAAAAUUAGCCAGGUAUUGGUGGUACCUGCAGUCCCAGCUACUGGGGAGACUGAGGCUGGAGAAUCACUUGAGCCUGGGAAGCAGAGGUUGGAGUGAGCCGAGAUCACGCCACUGCACUCCAGCCCCUGGAUGACAGAGUAAAACCCUGUCUCAAAAAAAAAAAAAAAAAAGAACUCAGCCGGGCACAGUGGCUCACGCCUGUAAUCCCAGUACUUUGGGAGGCUGAGACAGGCACAUCACGAGGUCAGGAGAUCGAGACCAUCCUGACUAACACGGUGAAACCCCGUCUCUACUAAAAAUACAAAAAAUUAGCCGGGCGUGGUGGUGGGCACCUGUAGUCCCAGCUACUUGGGAGGCUGAGGCAGAAGAAUGGCGUGAACCUGGGAGACGGAGCUUGCAGUGAGCCAAGAUCGCACCACUGCACUCCAGGCUGGGAGACAGAGCGAGACUCCAUCUCAAAAAAAAACAAAAAAACAAACAAAAAACCCUCAUCAACUCAUCAGUGCAUGCUCCUUCAAAGUCAGUGAUGAGAGACUCUAGGGUGUGUCAGCUAGCAAGAAAUCUUCUACAACAUAUAAGCACCACCUUUGCCAUGCCGUAUUGGUUAGAAGAAAGUAACACGUUCCUCCCACACUCAAGGGAUGGGGAUGAUACAAGUGUAGAAGAUUUCUUUUUAGGAGGAAGAAAAUUUUCUGGACACACAAAGUAGUGAUUGGCCAGGUGCAGUGGUUCACGCCUGUUAUCCCAGUACUUUGCGAGGUUGAGGCAGGCGGAUCACUUGAGGCCAGGAGUUCAAGACCAGCCUGGCCAACAUGGUGAAACCCUGUCUCUACUAAAAAUACAAAAAUUAGCCAGGUAUGGUGGUGCAUGCCUGUAAUCCCAGCUACUCAGGAGGAUGAGGCAGAAGAAUUACUUGAACCUGGGAGUCAGAGUUUGCAGUGACCUGAGAUCACACCACUGCAUUCCAGCCUGGGCGACAGAGUGACUGAGACUCUCUCUCAAAAAACAAACAAACAAACAAAAAAUAAUAACCACCUAGCAGCAAAGCCUGUGAAUGCAUUUCUGCUUCCUUUUUUUUUUUUUUUUUGAAACAGGGUCUCGCUCUGCCGCCCAGGCUGGAGUAGUGCAGUGGCGUGAUCUCGGCUCACUGCAGCCUCGACGUCCAGAGCUCAAGCAAUCCUCCUGCCUCAGC
RNAcentral lists this long non-coding RNA (7731 nucleotides) under Homo sapiens (human). RNAcentral describes it as "non-protein coding lnc-NLRP12-1:12". Lineage: Eukaryota; Metazoa; Chordata; Mammalia; Primates; Hominidae. The record is from RNAcentral.